RNAcentral lists this ribosomal RNA (455 nucleotides) under uncultured bacterium. RNAcentral's name for it is "bacterial SSU rRNA". It matches the Rfam family "Bacterial small subunit ribosomal RNA", at positions 8 to 507 of the family's 1533-position model. The record is from RNAcentral.
AGAGUUUGAUCCUGGCUCAGAGCGAACGCUGGCGGCAGGCCUAAUACAUGCAAGUCGAGCGGGUCCUUCGGGAUUAGCGGCGGACGGGUGAGUAACGCGUGGGAACGUGCCCUUUGGUACGGAACAACUGAGGGAUACUUCAGCUAAUACCGUAUGUGCCCUUCGGGGGAAAGAUUUAUCGCCAUUGGAGCGGCCCGCGUUGGAUUAGGGUAGUUGGGUGAGGUAAAGGCUCACCAAGCCUACGAUCCAUAGCUGGUCUGAGAGGAUGACCAGCCACACUGGGACUGAGACACGGCCCAGACCCCUACGGGAGGCAGCAGUAGGGAAUCUUGCGCAAUGGGCGAAAGCCUGACGCAGCCAUGCCGCGUGAAUGACGAAGGUCUUAGGAUUGUAAAAUUCUUUCACCGGGGACGAUAAUGACGGUACCCGGAGAAGAAGCCCCGGCUAACUUCGUG